UACGUAGGGCGCAAGCGUUAUCCGGAAUUAUUGGGCGUAAAGAGCUCGUAGGCGGUUUGUCGCGUCUGCCGUGAAAGUCCGGGGCUCAACUCCGGAUCUGCGGUGGGUACGGGCAGACUAGAGUGAUGUAGGGGAGACUGGAAUUCCCGGUGUAGUGGUGAAAUGCGUAGAUAUCGGGAGGAACACCAGUGGCGAAGGCGACUACCUGGCCUGUUCUUGACGCUGAGGCGCGAAAGCUAGGGUAGCAAACGGG
This 253-nucleotide ribosomal RNA is filed under the name uncultured bacterium. RNAcentral describes it as "partial 16S ribosomal RNA". It matches the Rfam family "Bacterial small subunit ribosomal RNA", at positions 524 to 776 of the family's 1533-position model. The record is from RNAcentral.